This is a long non-coding RNA of Saccostrea echinata, 170 nucleotides long. RefSeq lists it as uncharacterized. The record is from RefSeq and is a predicted model, not a curated record. Lineage: Eukaryota; Metazoa; Mollusca; Bivalvia; Ostreida; Ostreidae. The transcript is spliced from 2 exons.
AAGAUCAAAUUCAGAGAGACUUUGUCAACGUUUCAUUUUAUCAUGUAAAUGGUGAACAGAUUGAGACAGAAAUUUCGGAAUGUUGCAUUCAGAUUUCAGACAAAACUGUAAGAGAUGGCUUUGGAAGUAAAAAUUCUUUUUGUAAUAAAUCUAGAAGAAUUUGUAAAAUA